GCCCAGGUGGCGGAAUUGGUAGACGCGCAUGGUUCAGGUCCAUGUCUACGCAAGUAGGUGGAGGUUCAAGUCCUCUCCUGGGCACCA
Molecule: transfer RNA, 87 nt
Filed under: Pseudomonadales bacterium
Lineage: Bacteria; Pseudomonadati; Pseudomonadota; Gammaproteobacteria; Pseudomonadales
Also listed under: 4 other names
Description: tRNA-Leu
Rfam family: tRNA
About the family: Transfer RNA (tRNA) molecules are approximately 80 nucleotides in length. Their secondary structure includes four short double-helical elements and three loops (D, anti-codon, and T loops). Further hydrogen bonds mediate the characteristic L-shaped molecular structure. tRNAs have two regions of fundamental functional importance: the anti-codon, which is responsible for specific mRNA codon recognition, and the 3' end, to which the tRNAs corresponding amino acid is attached (by aminoacyl-tRNA synthetases). tRNAs cope with the degeneracy of the genetic code in two manners: having more than one tRNA (with a specific anti-codon) for a particular amino acid; and 'wobble' base-pairing, i.e. permitting non-standard base-pairing at the 3rd anti-codon position.
Source: RNAcentral